GACGAACGCUGGCGGCGCGCUUAACACAUGCCAGUCGAACGGAAAGGCCUGCUUUCCCUUGUGGAUUGCGGGUACUCGAGUGGCGAACGGGUGAGUAACACGUGAGUGAUCUGCCCCCAACUUGGGUAUAAGCCUGGGAAACUGGGUCUAAUUCCCGAUAGGACUGCAGGGUGGGUCCUGUGGUGGAAAACGAUGUUCUAGUGGUUGGGGAUGAGCUCGCGGCCUAUCAGCUUGUUGGUGGGGUAAUGGCCUACCAAGGCGGGGACGGGUAGCCGGCCUGGGAGGGUGGGCGGCCACAUUGGGACUGAGAUACGGCCCAGACUCCUACGGGAGGCAGCAGUGGGGAAUAUUGCACAAUGGGCGGAAGCCUGAUGCAGCGACGCCGCGUGGGGGAUGACGGCCUUCGGGUUGUAAACUCCUUUCGACCGCGAGGAAGCCACCUGGUUGGAAGGGUGGUGACGGUAGUGGUAGAAGAAGCACCGGCUAACUACGUG
This 494-nucleotide ribosomal RNA is filed under the name uncultured bacterium. Its description in RNAcentral is "partial 16S ribosomal RNA". It matches the Rfam family "Bacterial small subunit ribosomal RNA", at positions 28 to 507 of the family's 1533-position model. The record is from RNAcentral.